AUUGAACGCUGGCGGCAGGCUUAACACAUGCAAGUCGAGCGGGGGAAGGUAGCUUGCUACUGGACCUAGCGGCGGACGGGUGAGUAAUGCUUAGGAAUCUGCCUAUUAGUGGGGGACAACAUUCCGAAAGGAAUGCUAAUACCGCAUACGUCCUACGGGAGAAAGCAGGGGACCUUCGGGCCUUGCGCUAAUAGAUGAGCCUAAGUCGGAUUAGCUAGUUGGUGGGGUAAAGGCCUACCAAGGCGACGAUCUGUAGCGGGUCUGAGAGGAUGAUCCGCCACACUGGGACUGAGACACGGCCCAGACUCCUACGGGAGGCAGCAGUGGGGAAUAUUGGACAAUGGGGGGAACCCUGAUCCAGCCAUGCCGCGUGUGUGAAGAAGGCCUUAUGGUUGUAAAGCACUUUAAGCGAGGAGGAGGCUACUAGUAUUAAUACUACUGGAUAGUGGACGUUACUCGCAGAAUAAGCACCGGCUAACUCUGUGCCAGCG
Molecule: ribosomal RNA, 491 nt
Filed under: uncultured bacterium
Lineage: Bacteria
Description: bacterial SSU rRNA
Rfam family: Bacterial small subunit ribosomal RNA
Source: RNAcentral